This is a long non-coding RNA of Humulus lupulus (European hop), 544 nucleotides long. RefSeq lists it as uncharacterized. The record is from RefSeq and is a predicted model, not a curated record. The transcript is spliced from 4 exons. Lineage: Eukaryota; Viridiplantae; Streptophyta; Magnoliopsida; Rosales; Cannabaceae.
CCGGUGAGAUGUCCAUCCAGUUUCCCUUGCCAGACAAUGCACCAUUGGAAGAGCAGAUCGGUCGUCUUAUUUUGCUGCUUACUGUCAAAGAUGGUGCACUGGAUGUACCUACUAACAUAGAUGCUCGCCAGUGCAUAUCAUUCUUUUCUACUUCCCUAUUCAUGAAUAUGCCCACUGCUACCAGAGUGCAAAAUAUGCUGUCGUUCAGAUGAAUGGAAAAACUUUUUGGAACAGAUGGAAUGUGCAAGUUUGGAAGCGUUGAAAGCUGAAGACAAGGAAGAAGAACUUAGAAGUUGGGCCUCUUUCCAUGGCCAAACUCUAAGCCGAACAGUUAGAGGGAUGAUGUACUAUAGAGAGGCCUUAAAAUUGCAAGCAUUCCUUGACAUGGCUCAAGAUGAAGGUUUUUAACACUGCUGUUUUAUUUCUCAGACCAAUUCUUGUCCUCAAAACUUCCUUUCUUCCUGAUUAUCUAAUGAGAAUCCAUUCCUUUUGCCCUGUGUGUUUUGGCCAGAUAUUCUUGGAGGUUAUGAUACAGAGAACCAUG